UCUACAUAUAUUAAUGUAUGAAGAGCAUAUCUGAAACCCAGUUCUCUGUUCGUUGUGGAUUAAAUUGGCCUUUUUACAUAAAUAUAUAACCGAUAUCGUAAGAACAAGUUUGAAUCUGCACCUUCUGCAACUACUUUAGACGUCGUCACUCCAGUUGCAACAAUUUCAACUCCAGUCUCCAUUUGAUCUGUAGGUCUUUCACAUGGUGUUUGCUUUGGUGGUUUCUCCUUCAUCACCUCCCUUAUUUAGUGUUUACAUUGGUGUUGUUUCUCCUUCAUCACCUUUCAUACAUCCACAUGCAUCUCCCUUAUAUGGCGUUUGUAGUCCAUUCCUUACAUUACUAAUGUACCUAGAAGGUCUUUGACUCUUUGCUUUCGCUCGUAGACGAGUAAGAAGUUAUCCUUUGCAUUGAACUGGUCUGUAGUUGGUUGGUCUCAAGGAUGGUUUUGUGAGAAGUCAACCUUCACAUCUCUUUCAACAGGGUUUAUAUCUCUUUCAUCCCUUUGACUUUGGGCCGGGUCUAUUACUUUG
Molecule: long non-coding RNA, 531 nt
Filed under: Olea europaea (common olive)
Lineage: Eukaryota; Viridiplantae; Streptophyta; Magnoliopsida; Lamiales; Oleaceae
Description: long non-coding RNA (OEUR_LNC014822)
Source: RNAcentral